AGUGAACGCUGGCGGUAGGCCUAACACAUGCCAGUCGAACGGCAGCACAGUAAGAGCUUGCUCGUACGGGUGGCGAGUGGCGGACGGGUGAGGAAUACAUCGGAAUCUACUUUUUCGUGGGGGAUAACGUAGGGAAACUUACGCUAAUACCGCAUACGACCUACGGGUGAAAGCAGGGGAUCUUCGGACCUUGCGCGAUUGAAUGAGCCGAUGUCGGAUUAGCUAGUUGGCGGGGUAAAGGCCCACCAAGGCGACGAUCCGUAGCUGGUCUGAGAGGAUGAUCAGCCACACUGGAACUGAGACACGGUCCAGACUCCUACGGGAGGCAGCAGUGGGGAAUAUUGGACAAUGGGCGCAAGCCUGAUCCAGCCAUACCGCGUGGGUGAAGAAGGCCUUCGGGUUGUAAAGCCCUUUUGUUGGGAAAGAAAAGCAGCAGGUUAAUACCCCGCUGUUCUGACGGUACCCAAAGAAUAAGCACCGGCUAACUUCGUG
RNAcentral lists this ribosomal RNA (492 nucleotides) under uncultured bacterium. RNAcentral's name for it is "partial 16S ribosomal RNA". It matches the Rfam family "Bacterial small subunit ribosomal RNA", at positions 29 to 507 of the family's 1533-position model. The record is from RNAcentral.